This 72-nucleotide transfer RNA is filed under the name Chloroflexota bacterium. RNAcentral describes it as "Chloroflexi bacterium tRNA-Thr". It matches the Rfam family "tRNA". From Rfam's summary of the family: Transfer RNA (tRNA) molecules are approximately 80 nucleotides in length. Their secondary structure includes four short double-helical elements and three loops (D, anti-codon, and T loops). Lineage: Bacteria; Bacillati; Chloroflexota. The record is from RNAcentral.
GCCGGUGUGGCUCAAUGGCAGAGCGGCGGUUUUGUAAACCGCAGGUUGUGGGUUCGACUCCCACCGCCGGCU